RNAcentral lists this ribosomal RNA (252 nucleotides) under uncultured microorganism. RNAcentral describes it as "partial 16S ribosomal RNA". It matches the Rfam family "Bacterial small subunit ribosomal RNA", at positions 524 to 776 of the family's 1533-position model. The record is from RNAcentral.
UACGUAGGUCCCGAGCGUUGUCCGGAUUUAUUGGGCGUAAAGCGAGCGCAGGUGGUUUAAUAAGUCUGAUGUAAAAGGCAGUGGCUCAACCAUUGUGUGCAUUGGAAACUGUUAGACUUGAGUGCAGUAGAGGAGAGUGGAAUUCCAUGUGUAGCGGUGAAAUGCGUAGAUAUAUGGAGGAACACCGGUGGCGAAGGCGCCCCUCUGGACGGUAACUGACGCUGAGGCGCGAAAGCGUGGGGAGCAAACAGG